GAUGAAGAACGUAGCGAAAUGCGAUAAGUAGUGUGAAUUGCAGAAGUACCGUGAAUCAUCGAAUCUUUGAACGCAAAUUGCACUCUCUGGUAUUCCGGGGAGUAUGCCUGUUUGAGGGUCGCUUAACAAACCAUCGAUUUCGUUGCUUUUUUUUUUUAAAAAAGUGAUGUUUAUCGGAUUUGAGCCGUCUUUUUUUUUAUAUUUAAGUGGCUUAAAAUUGAUUUUUUUGGUACGAUCGAAGCGUAUUUUUAUGAUCAAUUUUUGGUUAAAGAAACGCACACGUACCGUUAUUUAUAUGAUGUAAUACGUUUGACUAUUGGAUUUAGUUCAUUCGUAUACGAUAUUUUUCAAUAUUUGACCUCAAAUCAGGUAAGAACACCCGCUGAACUUAAGCAUAUCAAUAAGCGGAGGA
Molecule: unclassified non-coding RNA, 412 nt
Filed under: soil metagenome
Description: partial contains 5.8S ribosomal RNA, internal transcribed spacer 2, and large subunit ribosomal RNA
Rfam family: 5.8S ribosomal RNA (bases 1-121)
Source: RNAcentral